AGUUUUUUGAAUUUAAUUUAAAAUAAAACCUGCUCAAUGAAAAAUUUAAAUAGCUGCAGUAAUUUAACUGUACUAAGGUAGCAUAAUCAAUUGUUUCUUAAUUGGAAUCUAGAAUGAAUGGUUAAAUGAAAUAAAAACUUUAUUAAUUUUAAAAUAUUUAAAUUUAUUAUUAGUAAAAAAUCUAAUUUGAUUAAAAAAGACGAGAAGACCCUAUAGAUUUUAAUAAUUUAUUUAAUAAACUUAAUUUAAUUUAAUAAAUUUAUUAUAUAAAUUAUUUGAUUGGGGUGAUUAUUAAAUUUAAAAAACUUUUUAUUUAAAAAACAUUAAUUAAUGAGUUAAAGAUCCUUUGAUAAAGAUUUAGAAAUUAAAAUACCUUAGGGAUAACAGCGUAAUUUUUUUAGAAAGUACAUAUUAAUAAAGAAGUUUGC
Molecule: ribosomal RNA, 428 nt
Filed under: Ophionellus sp. Janzen38
Lineage: Eukaryota; Metazoa; Arthropoda; Insecta; Hymenoptera; Ichneumonidae
Description: partial 16S ribosomal RNA
Source: RNAcentral